GAUGAAGAACGUAGCGAAAUGCGAUAAGUAAUGUGAAUUGCAGAAUUCAGUGAAUCAUCGAAUCUUUGAACGCACAUUGUGCCCGCCAGUAUUCUGGCGGGCAUGCCUGUUCGAGCGUCAUUUCAACCAUCAAGCCCCCGGGCUUGUGUUGGGGACCUGCGGCUGCCGCAGGCCCUGAAAAGCAGUGGCGGGCUCGCUGUCACACCGAGCGUAGUAGAUUUUAUCUCGCUCAGGGCGUGCUGCGGGUUCCGGCCGUUAAACCACCUUCAUAACCCAAGGUUGACCUCGGAUCAGGUAGGAAGACCCGCUGAACUUAAGCAUAUCAAUAAGCGGAGGA
Molecule: unclassified non-coding RNA, 337 nt
Filed under: soil metagenome
Description: partial contains 5.8S ribosomal RNA, internal transcribed spacer 2, and large subunit ribosomal RNA
Rfam family: 5.8S ribosomal RNA (bases 1-120)
Source: RNAcentral